CUGGAAGCUUCCACCCCUCCCUGCUGAGCAACUACUAAAAAUGACGACAAUUUGUGAUAUGGUUUGGGAAAGGCAUGUGAAAUCUCUUCAGUGAAAUUUAAAAAAGUAGCAAGACCCAGCUUGUUACCUGUGCAUUGCAAACACAAGAGCCAGAGCUGCAACAGACUUUUCUCCACCUGAGAGGUUGUCCAUUGGCAUAAAUCGU
Long non-coding RNA from Crotalus tigris (Tiger rattlesnake), 205 nucleotides. RefSeq lists it as uncharacterized. The transcript has 3 exons. NCBI's taxonomy places the organism in Eukaryota, Metazoa, Chordata, Lepidosauria, Squamata, Viperidae. The record is from RefSeq and is a predicted model, not a curated record.